AGUUUGGCUGAGACAGCCCUUCUUGGAUCCACCAGACAUCUGGGGAGGCAUUCAACUGGGACCUGCAGGAUUCGCUUUCAAUGUGGCUCACCCACAUGGCCAGGAGUGCAGACCAGGACCAGCUGUUUCUCUCCACAUGGGUUUCUUCAAGGACUUCUUGGGCUUCUUCAGAGCAUGCCAGCUGGAUUUCGUGAUAUCAAGAGGAGUGUAGCACACACAUGUUACAGCUGAAAAUGAUGCGCUGUGAUGUCAAGCACUUUCCCAAGGAGAUGCAGCUAAUAGUUGCCAGAGCCAUAAUGAUAUUAGGUGUUGUUCCCUUUGUCUGGGACGCCCUCUCCGUAUGUAUUAGUCUGGAAAACUCCACUUAUCCCAUCAGCCUCAGCUCUCACCUCUUCCGAGACCUUCCCUGACAUCACUAGGCAAAUAUAAAUGAGCCCUCUGACCAUCCCCUUUGUGCAAGACUCAGGUUAAAAAAAUGACCCCAUGAGAGAGUGUUAAUAUUUCUUUCCUCAAUUAGAAUCUUGAAGUCCAGAACUGUGCAUUUCCAUCCUUAUAUCAGAAUGUCUAGCACACAAGAAGCACUGGGAAAUAUGUGUGGAAUAAAUAACUGAGCAUGUUGAUAAAGGAGCAUAUAUUUUUAAUAUCCAUAGAAGUGCAAAUCUUUGCUGGGUAGCGUUGUAGGAAUGUUUUUCCACAUGUCAUGACGACAUUUGUUUU
RNAcentral lists this long non-coding RNA (717 nucleotides) under Homo sapiens (human). RNAcentral describes it as "non-protein coding lnc-TENM4-4:9". The record is from RNAcentral. Lineage: Eukaryota; Metazoa; Chordata; Mammalia; Primates; Hominidae.